RNAcentral lists this ribosomal RNA (482 nucleotides) under uncultured Rhodoferax sp. RNAcentral describes it as "bacterial SSU rRNA". It matches the Rfam family "Bacterial small subunit ribosomal RNA", at positions 903 to 1382 of the family's 1533-position model. Lineage: Bacteria; Pseudomonadati; Pseudomonadota; Betaproteobacteria; Burkholderiales; Comamonadaceae. The record is from RNAcentral.
UACGAAAGGAAGUUGACGGGGACCCGCACAAGCGGUGGAUGAUGUGGUUUAAUUCGACGCAACGCGAAAACCUUACCACCUUUGACAUGUACGGAAGCCUUUAGAGAUAGAGGCGUGCUCGAAAGAGAGCCGUAACACAGGUGCUGCAUGGCUGUCGUCAGCUCGUGUCGUGAGAUGUUGGGUUAAGUCCCGCAACGAGCGCAACCCUUGUCAUUAGUUGCUACAUUCAGUUGGGCACUCUAAUGAGACUGCCGGUGACAAGCCGGAGGAAGGUGGGGAUGACGUCAAGUCCUCAUGGCCCUUAUAGGUGGGGCUACACACGUCAUACAAUGGCUGGUACAAAGGGUUGCCAACCCGCGAGGGGGAGCUAAUCCCAUAAAGCCAGUCGUAGUCCGGAUCGUAGUCUGCAACUCGACUACGUGAAGUCGGAAUCGCUAGUAAUCGUGGAUCAGAAUGUCACGGUGAAUACGUUCCCGGGUCUU